GACGAACGCUGGCGGCGUGCUUAACACAUGCAAGUCGAACGAUGAAGCUGGAGCUUGCUCCGGUGGAUUAGUGGCGAACGGGUGAGUAACACGUGAGCAAUCUGCCCUUGACUCUGGGAUAACUGCGGGAAACUGUAGCUAAUACCGGAUACGAGAUUUGGAGGCAUCUCCGGAUCAGGAAAGAAUUUCGGUCAAGGAUGAGCUCGCGGCCUAUCAGCUUGUUGGUGAGGUAAUGGCUCACCAAGGCGACGACGGGUAGCCGGCCUGAGAGGGUGACCGGCCACACUGGGACUGGGACACGGCCCAGACUCCUACAGGAGGCAGCAGUGGGGAAUAUUGCACAAUGGGCGAAAGCCUGAGUCAGCAACGCCGCGUGAGGGAUGAAGGCCUUCGGGUUGUAAACCUCUUUUAGUAGGGAAGAAGCGAAAGUGACGGUACCUACAGAAAAAGCACCGGCUAACUACGUGCCAGCCGCCGCAGUAA
RNAcentral lists this ribosomal RNA (483 nucleotides) under uncultured bacterium. RNAcentral's name for it is "partial 16S ribosomal RNA". It matches the Rfam family "Bacterial small subunit ribosomal RNA", at positions 28 to 523 of the family's 1533-position model. The record is from RNAcentral.